UUUUAUUUGAGAGUUUGAUCCUGGCUCAGGAUGAACGCUGGCGGCGUGCCUAACACAUGCAAGUUGAGCGAUUUACUUCGGUAAAGAGCGGCGGACGGGUGAGUAACGCGUGGGUAACCUACCCUGUACACACGGAUAACAUACCGAAAGGUAUGCUAAUACGGGAUAAUAUAUUUGAGAGGCAUCUCUUGAAUAUCAAAGGUGAGCCAGUACAGGAUGGACCCGCGUCUGAUUAGCUAGUUGGUAAGGUAACGGCUUACCAAGGCGACGAUCAGUAGCCGACCUGAGAGGGUGAUCGGCCACAUU
Molecule: ribosomal RNA, 306 nt
Filed under: Clostridioides difficile
Lineage: Bacteria; Bacillati; Bacillota; Clostridia; Peptostreptococcales; Peptostreptococcaceae
Description: partial 16S ribosomal RNA
Rfam family: Bacterial small subunit ribosomal RNA
Source: RNAcentral